RNAcentral lists this long non-coding RNA (815 nucleotides) under Phoenix dactylifera (date palm). RNAcentral's name for it is "long non-coding RNA (PDAC_LNC008769)". Lineage: Eukaryota; Viridiplantae; Streptophyta; Magnoliopsida; Arecales; Arecaceae. The record is from RNAcentral.
UGCAAGAAAUAAAGAAUAUAAAAAGGUAAAGGCCUAUUUGAUAUUGUUUUUGUUUUUAAAAAACCAGCAAGAACAAUUUGACUAUAUUGAAUGUAUUUUAUUUCAAAUUAUUUGUAAAAUUUUUACAGCUUUUGGUACUAAAGAUUUAUUGGUUUCAGAUUUUGCAAAUCCUAUCCUCAGUGCCGAUCUCCAUGUAGUAUUCUACUAAUUUGUAGGGGAAACAAUAACCCAAAAAACAAUGACGAUAGCAAACAAGCCCUAAAUUUAAGCCAUCUAAUUCAUAACAUUUCAUAGAUUUGCCCAUCCUACCAAAAUGAUCGACAAAGAACACUCUAUUUUCUCCCUCUGUUCUACUCCAAACAUCAACAUAGGAAUACCAUACUACACAUAAGAUUAUUCGAUUUUAAGAGUUCUUCAUCCAUUUAUAUAUAUCUUUUACUAAAAAAGAUAUAGCCUAAAACUAUAGUUGCCACUCUGUUCUUCUUACAGAAACUGGAACCGUCACUCAAUAAGCGAUCUCUCUCCAAAUGAAUGAAUCAUAUUACUGCUGGAAUUUGAUCCACUCUGCUGCCUCAAAUCCUAUAUAGACGAGCAGAUAUCUUAUUCUUUUUUCUUCUCAAGAUUAGAGAUCAAUGAAAUCUAGAUCAUACGCCCAUAACCCAACACAUAAAUGUCCAAUCAACUAGUAUAAGUUUUUCACAGCAAAUCGAUCCCUAGACUCAACGCCCUUCAGGAUCAACGAAAACACACUACUGAAAAUCUCUAAGACCAACCAAAAAAAAAAAUUAGAACUCGAAUGCAACAAGAGAAACCAA